RNAcentral lists this ribosomal RNA (921 nucleotides) under uncultured organism. RNAcentral's name for it is "bacterial SSU rRNA". It matches the Rfam family "Bacterial small subunit ribosomal RNA", at positions 1 to 917 of the family's 1533-position model. The record is from RNAcentral.
UGGAUCCAGACUUUGAUCCUGGCUCAGGAUGAACGCUAGCUACAGGCUUAACACAUGCAAGUCGAGGGGCAGCAUGACGAUAGCUUGCUAUCGUUGAUGGCGACCGGCGCACGGGUGAGUAACGCGUAUCCAACCUGCCCUUGUCCAUCGGAUAACCCGUCGAAAGGCGGCCUAACACGAUAUGCAGUUCUCAGCAGGCAUCUAACGAGAACGAAAUGUAAAGGAGAAGGAUGGGGAUGCGUCUGAUUAGCUUGUUGGCGGGGUAACGGCCCACCAAGGCGACGAUCAGUAGGGGUUCUGAGAGGAAGGUCCCCCACAUUGGAACUGAGACACGGUCCAAACUCCUACGGGAGGCAGCAGUGAGGAAUAUUGGUCAAUGGGCGAGAGCCUGAACCAGCCAAGUAGCGUGCAGGAUGACGGCCCUAUGGGUUGUAAACUGCUUUUAUGCGGGGAUAAAGUGAGCCACGUGUGGCUUAUUGCAGGUACCGCAUGAAUAAGGACCGGCUAAUUCCGUGCCAGCAGCCGCGGUAAUACGGAAGGUCCGGGCGUUAUCCGGAUUUAUUGGGUUUAAAGGGAGCGUAGGCCGUCUGGUAAGCGUGUUGUGAAAUGUCGGGGCUCAACCUGGGCAUUGCAGCGCGAACUGUCAGACUUGAGUGCGCGGGAAGUAGGCGGAAUUCGUCGUGUAGCGGUGAAAUGCUUAGAUAUGACGAAGAACUCCGAUUGCGAAGGCAGCCUGCUGUAGCGCAACUGACGCUGAAGCUCGAAAGCGUGGGUAUCGAACAGGAUUAGAUACCCUGGUAGUCCACGCGGUAAACGAUGGAUGCUCGCUGUUUGCGUCUGACGUAAGCGGCCAAGCGAAAGCGUUAAGCAUCCCACCUGGGGAGUACGCCGGCAACGGUGCAACUCAAAUGAAUUGACGGA